RNAcentral lists this transfer RNA (68 nucleotides) under Drosophila buzzatii. RNAcentral's name for it is "tRNA-Thr". It matches the Rfam family "tRNA". Rfam says of the family: Transfer RNA (tRNA) molecules are approximately 80 nucleotides in length. Their secondary structure includes four short double-helical elements and three loops (D, anti-codon, and T loops). Lineage: Eukaryota; Metazoa; Arthropoda; Insecta; Diptera; Drosophilidae. The record is from RNAcentral.
GUUUUAAUAGUUUAAUAAAAACAUUGGUCUUGUAAAUCAAAAAUAAGAUUUUUUUUUCUUUUAAAACU